Molecule: long non-coding RNA, 299 nt
Organism: Hordeum vulgare subsp. vulgare (domesticated barley)
Lineage: Eukaryota; Viridiplantae; Streptophyta; Magnoliopsida; Poales; Poaceae
Exons: 3
Source: RefSeq, a predicted model, not a curated record
CUUGGCAGGGCUUGGAAACGGUUCACCGUCAAGGCUCGGGGUGUUUGAAAGUCAGAGCUUACAUUUAUCCAAAUGGAUUGCUUGAGGCAGGAACGGGGGAAUAAUUUAUGUGGAUACUAUGCUUGCGAGUUCAUUCGCCAGACGACUCAUGAGAAGGAUAAAAACCGGGACAUAAAAAAAUUGAAAUCGAACGGUUGCUGGACGGUCUUCAACCAUAGAAACGUGUACGACCAAUUCAAGAGGAAAUUGCCGGAUUCUUAGAUGCACAGGUCCUAGAUGUGAAGGGAGAAUAUUAUUGC